GCCGGCGCCUCACCUUGGUUCACCAGGCGCAGGGCGUGCGUGAAGGAGGGGUCCAGGGAGUCCUUCUCCGCCAUCAGCUCGGGCAGGUAGCAAUCUGGAACACUCCUGACUGGCUCUUCAUCCCUCCCUGAUCUGAGUUGGCAGUCAGUCCACCAGCAGCUGUGGAGGAGGGCUAUGCACUGGGAAACUGACAGCAAGGGCACUGAAUCUUCUGCUCCAGACCCUCCUUCUCCGAGAACCUUCCAAGAAGGCAGGUGCCAAACGCUAAGCUGUUCAUGUUGAAAGGAGUCCCAACAGUGGAGUCUCUGGGAAUAAGAGUUAAAGAUAAGACCAU
This 334-nucleotide long non-coding RNA is filed under the name Homo sapiens (human). RNAcentral's name for it is "HSALNT0350383". The record is from RNAcentral. Lineage: Eukaryota; Metazoa; Chordata; Mammalia; Primates; Hominidae.